RNAcentral lists this ribosomal RNA (404 nucleotides) under Actinomycetes bacterium. Its description in RNAcentral is "Actinobacteria bacterium partial 16S ribosomal RNA". It matches the Rfam family "Bacterial small subunit ribosomal RNA", at positions 355 to 776 of the family's 1533-position model. The record is from RNAcentral. Lineage: Bacteria; Bacillati; Actinomycetota; Actinomycetes.
UGGGGAAUAUUGGACAAUGGGCGCAAGCCUGAUCCAGCCAUGCCGCGUGAGUGAUGAAGGCCCUAGGGUUGUAAAGCUCUUUCACCGGUGAAGAUAAUGACGGUAACCGGAGAAGAAGCCCCGGCUAACUUCGUGCCAGCAGCCGCGGUAAUACGAAGGGGGCUAGCGUUGUUCGGAUUUACUGGGCGUAAAGCGCACGUAGGCGGACUAUUAAGUCAGGGGUGAAAUCCCGGGGCUCAACCCCGGAACUGCCUUUGAUACUGGUAGUCUUGAGUUCGAGAGAGGUGAGUGGAAUUCCGAGUGUAGAGGUGAAAUUCGUAGAUAUUCGGAGGAACACCAGUGGCGAAGGCGACUUUCUGGUCUGUAACUGACGCUGAUGUGCGAAAGCGUGGGGAUCAAACAGG